RNAcentral lists this ribosomal RNA (608 nucleotides) under uncultured bacterium. RNAcentral describes it as "bacterial SSU rRNA". It matches the Rfam family "Bacterial small subunit ribosomal RNA", at positions 888 to 1498 of the family's 1533-position model. The record is from RNAcentral.
GUAAGAUUAAAACUCAAAGGAAUAGACGGGGACCCGCACAAGCGGUGGAGCAUGUGGUUUAAUUCGACGAUACGCGAAGAACCUUACCUGGCCUUGACAUAGAAAGAACUUUCCAGAGACGGGUUGGUGCUAGUUUACUAGAGCUUUCAUACAGGUGCUGCACGGCUGUCGUCAGCUCGUGUCGUGAGAUGUUGGGUUAAGUCCCGCAACGAGCGCAACCCUCGUGUUUAGUUACUAACAGUUCGGCUGAGGACUCUAAACAGACUGCCUGGGUAACCAGGAGGAAGGUGAGGACGACGUCAAGUCAUCAUGGCCCUUACGGCCAGGGCUACACACGUGCUACAAUGGGGUAUACAAAGAGCUGCAAUACGGUGACGUGGAGCAAAUCUCAUAAAAUAUCUCCCAGUUCGGAUUGAAGUCUGCAACUCGACUUCAUGAAGUUGGAAUCGCUAGUAAUCGUAGAUCAGCAAUGCUACGGUGAAUACGUUCCCGGGUCUUGUACUCACCGCCCGUCACACCAUGGGAAUUGAAUUCAUUCGAAGCGGGGAUGCUAAAAUAGCUACCUUCCACAGUGGAUUUAGUAACUAGGGUGAAGUCGUAACAAGGUA